GAUGAACGCUGACAGCAUGCUUAACACAUGCAAGUCUUUGGCGAAUCUGUGCUUGCACCGGCUAGCCAAGGCGGACGGGUGAACGACGCGUAAAGAACUUGCCCUGCAGACAGGGAUAACAGACGGAAACGACUGAUAACACCUGAUACAGUUGCCGGCACGCAUGUGCCUGGCAAUGAAAAGAGAUGCUGCAGGAGAGCUUUGCGUCCUAUUAGCUUGUUGGUGAGGUGACGGCUCACCAAGGCGAUGAUAGGUAGCCGGCCUGAGAGGGUGAACGGCCACAAGGGGACUGAGAUACGGCCCUUACUCCUACGGGAGGCAGCAGUGGGGAAUAGUGGACAAUGGGGGCAACACUGAUCCAGCAAUUCUGUGUGCACGAAGAAGGUUUUCGGAUUGUAAAGUGCUUUCAGCAGGGAAGAAGAAAGUGACGGUACCUGCAGAAGAAGCGACGGCUAAAUACGUG
This 463-nucleotide ribosomal RNA is filed under the name uncultured bacterium. RNAcentral describes it as "partial 16S ribosomal RNA". It matches the Rfam family "Bacterial small subunit ribosomal RNA", at positions 28 to 507 of the family's 1533-position model. The record is from RNAcentral.